AUUCCUACGGGGGGCAGCAGUGAGGAAUAUUGGUCAAUGGGCGGAAGCCUGAACCAGCCAAGUCGCGUGAGGGAAGAAGGCCCUGCGGGUCGCAGACCUCUUUGGACGGGGAGCAAGGCCGCCGACGUGUCGGCGGAAGGAGAGUACCCGUAGAACAAGCAUCGGCUAACUCCGUGCCAGUAGCCGCGGUAAUACGGAGGAUGCGAGCGUUAUCCGGAUUUACUGGGUGUAAAGGGAGCGUAGACGGCUGUGCAAGUCUGAAGUGAAAGCCCGUGGCUCAACCGCGGAACUGCUUUGGAAACUGU
RNAcentral lists this ribosomal RNA (305 nucleotides) under uncultured bacterium. Its description in RNAcentral is "bacterial SSU rRNA". It matches the Rfam family "Bacterial small subunit ribosomal RNA", at positions 335 to 636 of the family's 1533-position model. The record is from RNAcentral.